CGUUUUCUCGCAAAACGGGAGACACAUAGAGUCUGGACGUGUCAGUCACUGAGGAUGUAGGACGCCUAAAACACCCCCGUCCGAGUUAACGGCCGACACCCCCUGGGCCUCUGCUGAAUGUAUGCCGGGUCCAACGUGUCUGUGAACGCCUCGCCCCGUCCACGGCGGGUGACCGAUUCCCCUCCUGCAACAUCGAGGCACCGCCGCGGGGCCAAAUCUCAUCAGAGCGCCACUCUUCUUCUUCUUCUUCUUUUUCUUCUUCUCCUCUUUUUUUUUUUUUUUUUUUUUAACUGGACUGCAUUGAACAGGCUGGAAAAGGUCCUCGGCCAGUAACCUAAAAAGAACGAUCGGGGUGGCUCUGGUCGGCACACACUCAAAUAUAUAUAUACACCAACAUAGAAUUAUACAUCAUGUACACACACAUUGUAUUUGAGUAUUGCUCAAUAAGCUUAUGUAAAUACAAAUGUAUCACUCUCCAAAUAUUACAGCAUACAUGUUGAUAGAUAUUUUAAAUGAGAAACCAUCGUACGAUACAGAAACAAUGUUAUGAAGCCUACUGUGAAUAAUAAUUGGAGAGCCUGAUAGCGGUGGCUGUGUGUGUGUGUGUGUGUGUGUGUGUGCGCAGGUGUGAUUGUAUGUGUUGGGACGAGUGCUGAGGAGGGGUGGACGUGUCGGGGGGGGGUGAGUGUUCAUAAAGCUGUAGAUUACUGUGUCAUGUCUGUCUGAAAGCUCAGACGCGCUUUAAAUGUUUGAAAAGUGUUACCUUAAGUGUUUUCUAUACAGUGUUUGCAAAGAUCAAGAAACAAUUGCAUAUAAAGUAUUUACCAAGACCAAGCGCUCGAUGGUGUGGUCUGUUUCCUCUCUCAUACCCACAUCUAAUGUCUCCGUCUUCGCUGUCGCCAGAUCCCGGCUAAAAAAAAAAAAAAAAAAAGAAGACUUUUAUUCUUCUUUUAAGACCUGCGUGAGUUGAACUCUGGCGUUCCUGCUGCGGCUGCAUGCAUGUGGGAGGAUAAAUACAAAGCACGUUCAGUCGCAGUGCAAACCGAGCGAGUAAGCAGAUGAUGUUCCUCCAGGGUGCCAGGACAUAUGUAAAGCAUAACCACGCGGUCCUCCACACACACACACACGUUGCAACAUACUGAGACUUUUAGGAAAUGAUUUAAGGUAUACAACUGUUUUGAUGUGCUUAACAAAUGUUCUAACACAAAAGCUUUUCAUGUUCUCUUUUCAGAGGAUGGUGAACGGCAAAGUGCCCGACGGGGGCACAAAUAUUGUGAGCAUCCUCUCCCUCCUACUACUAUCACUCCUCCACUGCGUGUGGGCGCAAUUUCCCUGAGCAAACCCCUAAACUGGAGUUUAUGGUGUUUCCACGCUCAUUUCGAGGUUUAUGUGUGACACUGUCUCCGUGCGUCCUCUGAGGGAGGUCUUCGCUCUCCCGUUCUUCACAUUCCUCUGUUUUCUCAGAUCUCUCUUUUAUUGCCUUGUUGUGCUCCGGCCCGUCGUCUGCCAGGAUCUCUUGUCUCUUCAAAGUGCCCACAUCAAUAACAAGAUAACUAGCUGCUCUCUGCUCGUGGGGCUGGCGAUCAUUUUGCAGCUUAAGAGCUGCAGAGGAUUGGAGGCAAAAUGGAUGCUGUGAAGAAUGUUAAUGUGUGUUGAAUGAGAACACUGCCUCCCUCUGGCAAGAAGAGCUACAGCCUCCCCCCCUUCCCCCCAAAGAGGCCUUUUCAUGUUGUCAUAAACAGUCUAACUCCUCACGAUAAGAAUCGUUACUUUAGAAACGCCAGGAGGGAAGCAGAUUGUUUUUGCUGCUGUCACUGGCUUGUUUGGGUUUAAAUGGAAAACGUAACUGAAGGUGAUGCAACCACAUGGACAUUUGAUGAGCGGCAGGCAGACAUUUACUCGUGUCUUUACCAGUUGUUUUCAUUAAACGUUGAUCGUCCACAGCCAUCUGGCACAAUGUCAUCUGUUGUGUAACAACAUGUCAACACGGCCCUCCGUCCCCGUCUCUCACAGCUAGCUUUUAAUGCCUCUUUGUCUCGCGUCUCUCCGCUGUGCUCUUGUGUCUGACCCACUUCCACGAGUAGAGGGGCCCUGUGGGGCCCACAAAGAGCCCCCCCCCCCGCCGUUCCUCCAUCAGCCGGCGUCGGGUCGGUGUCACUCGGCUCACAAUACAAACUCAAGCCCACACGCUUGUCCGGUCCGGCCCGGGUCGAGGAGCCGGCGUCUGAUCAGAUCCUUCUGCCCGAGCUGGUGGGCCCCGGGCCCCUCGGAGCGAACACGGCCAACAUGUGUGGGUGUGUAGCAGAUGCGUGAAAUGGACCAGGACCUGUGCACAUUCCUUCCACUUCUGUCUCGACUGAAAUGGCACAUUUUACACUUGCGGUUGCUCAACGUGGUGAAAUAAUACUUGUUUUAGGCAUUCAAGGAGUAGCAUGUUGUAACCGUAACUAUUCAGCAGAAGCCAGACGGACACAGUUGUGGUCUAAAAUAAGAUGCAAGUAUGUGCCAAGCGUGCGGUGAUUGUAAUGACCAUUGCUAACUCUGUACUGCAGGACACAAAGUACUCUUGUUCGGUCUUCACUCCUUUUGAGUUUCAGUUGGUUUGGUCUGUUCACUUUGCGUUUUUGUUGAAAACCUUUUUCUAUUAACGUGCGAGAAAGGCCAAAUUUAGAAAUGAUAUGGAUCAGGAAACAUUUAUUGCCAUAAUAUGUCAGACAUACAAGGAAUUUGACUUUGGUUGGUGCAUGACAGCAGACUGGACGACAAGACAGCAGUGCAAGAGGGAUAGAAUAUAAUGCUAUGUGUUGGUUUAAAAAUAAAGGAAUAAAAGCUGAAAGUUAAAAAUAUUUUAAAAUUAAAAAUAAAGUGUACCGCCGAACAGAAAGGGACAACUGUUGGUGUGGCGGGAGGUCUUAGUCCUGAUGGACCUCAGCCUCCUCCCAGAUGGAAGGGGCACAAACAGUUUUUGUCCGGGGUGAGAGGGGUCGGCCGCGAUCUUUUUAGCUCGCUUCAGAGACCUGGAAGCGAACAAGUCCUGCAGGGACGGCAGAUUGCAGCCGAUCACCCUCUCUGCAGAGCGGAUGACACGCUGCAGCCUGCCCUUGUCCUUGGCUGUGGCUGCAGCGUACCAGACGG
Molecule: long non-coding RNA, 3135 nt
Organism: Gasterosteus aculeatus aculeatus (three-spined stickleback)
Lineage: Eukaryota; Metazoa; Chordata; Actinopteri; Perciformes; Gasterosteidae
Source: Ensembl